GACGGGACCGCACAAGCGGUGGUGAUGUGGUUUAAUUCGAUGCAACGCGAAAAACCUUACCCACCUUUGACAUGUACGGAAUCCUUUAGAGAUAGAGGAGUGCUCGAAAGAGAGCCGUAACACAGGUGCUGCAUGGCUGUCGUCAGCUCGUGUCGUGAGAUGUUGGGUUAAGUCCCGCAACGAGCGCAACCCUUGUCAUUAGUUGCUACGAAAGGGCACUCUAAUGAGACUGCCGGUGACAAACCGGAGGAAGGUGGGGAUGACGUCAAGUCCUCAUGGCCCUUAUGGGUAGGGCUUCACACGUCAUACAAUGGUCGGUACAGAGGGUUGCCAACCCGCGAGGGGGAGCUAAUCCCACAAAGCCGAUCGUAGUCCGGAUCGCAGUCUGCAACUCGACUGCGUGAAGUCGGAAUCGCUAGUAAUCGUGGAUCAGCAUGUCACGGUGAAUACGUUCCCGGGUCUU
Molecule: ribosomal RNA, 463 nt
Filed under: uncultured Comamonas sp.
Lineage: Bacteria; Pseudomonadati; Pseudomonadota; Betaproteobacteria; Burkholderiales; Comamonadaceae
Description: bacterial SSU rRNA
Rfam family: Bacterial small subunit ribosomal RNA
Source: RNAcentral